GCUUAUGUAAUAAAUUUUAAUUUGAAAAAAAAAAAUUUGACCUCUGAACUUGUCUUGGUGGUGAAAACGGACAUCAAAUAUUAAGGAAAAACAAAAAUAACUUUGUAAUUUGAACUAGCUUAAAUUGCCGUUUUUUUCUAUUGACAAAAGCGACGAACGGUUGCCAAAUCGAUAACAUUUGAGUUACACGAGCUUAGGGUACAAGUUUCCAACCCGCAUUCAAUAACUUCGAUAAAGAUCAAGGAUCCCUUCACUGUAAUCUUCCCUCAUGUGAAGAAAUUUGUUAUUCAUUAGAAUAUUAAUUUACUAUGUGGUUUCUUUUUGUGGACAUAAUUUAUUUUCUCAGCUCUCACUUGACCUAUUUUUACGAUAAAAAUGAAAGUAAAUAUUGAGCUUUUCUGAUAAAUUUACUGUAUAAUUUACUUAAUA
Daktulosphaira vitifoliae (grape phylloxera) is the source of this 429-nucleotide long non-coding RNA. RefSeq lists it as uncharacterized. The record is from RefSeq and is a predicted model, not a curated record. Lineage: Eukaryota; Metazoa; Arthropoda; Insecta; Hemiptera; Phylloxeridae. The transcript is spliced from 3 exons.